GCGUCCGUAGCUCAGUUGGAUAGAGCAUCGGUUUCCGGGGCCGAAGGUCGCAGGUUCAAAUCCUGCCGGACGCA
RNAcentral lists this transfer RNA (74 nucleotides) under Sulfurihydrogenibium azorense Az-Fu1. RNAcentral's name for it is "tRNA-Arg (CCG) (tRNA-Arg-CCG-1-1)". It matches the Rfam family "tRNA". From Rfam's summary of the family: Transfer RNA (tRNA) molecules are approximately 80 nucleotides in length. RNAcentral also lists the same sequence under 2 other names. The record is from Rfam by way of RNAcentral. Lineage: Bacteria; Pseudomonadati; Aquificota; Aquificia; Aquificales; Hydrogenothermaceae.